This 253-nucleotide ribosomal RNA is filed under the name uncultured bacterium. RNAcentral describes it as "partial 16S ribosomal RNA". It matches the Rfam family "Bacterial small subunit ribosomal RNA", at positions 524 to 776 of the family's 1533-position model. The record is from RNAcentral.
UACGUAGGGGGCAAGCGUUAUCCGGAAUUACUGGGUGUAAAGGGAGCGUAGACGGUAAUGUAAGUCUGGAGUGAAAGGCGGGGGCCCAACCCCCGGACUGCUCUGGAAACUAUGUUACUUGAGUGCAGGAGAGGAGAGUGGAACUCCAUGUGUAGCGGUGAAAUGCGUAGAUAUAUGGAAGAACACCAGUGGCGAAAGCGGCUCUCUGGUCUGUAACUGACGCUGAGGUUCGAAAGCGUGGGUAGCAAACAGG